RNAcentral lists this long non-coding RNA (330 nucleotides) under Androctonus crassicauda. The record is from RNAcentral. Lineage: Eukaryota; Metazoa; Arthropoda; Arachnida; Scorpiones; Buthidae.
UAUAAAUAUAUGAAUACAUAUAUUUAUUUAUAACAUGAGUUUUUCUUUAAACUGAAGUCUGAUUUUUGGUAUCAAGCCGAUUCUGAUGCAUAUAUUGCAUCAAGAAUCAUUGGCUACGAAAUUUUUUUUUAAUUCUAAUGACCAUGAGUUUGAAUGUAUUGGCCAUUUUGAACGGAUUCAAAUCAGUGAAUGUUUUUGGCAGUUACGCCCAUGCGAAGAGUCGGCCAACCCCAGAAGAGCGGGAGAUGGCCAUAAGCAGCUAAGGAACAAUCAGUUUCAGACCAGCGGUCAAGAGAAUAAGUUCCGUCGAUUACUGGUGCACUCAAGGAU